This 253-nucleotide ribosomal RNA is filed under the name uncultured bacterium. RNAcentral's name for it is "partial 16S ribosomal RNA". It matches the Rfam family "Bacterial small subunit ribosomal RNA", at positions 524 to 776 of the family's 1533-position model. The record is from RNAcentral.
UACAGAGGGGGCAAGCGUUAUUCGGAAUUAUUGGGCGUAAAGGGCGCGUAGGCGGCCUUUCAAGUGACGGGUGAAAUCCCUCGGCUUAACCGAGGAACUGCCUGUCAGACUGGGAGGCUUGAGACCGGGAGAGGUGAGUGGAAUUCCCAGUGUAGCGGUGAAAUGCGUAGAUAUUGGGAGGAACACCAGUGGCGAAGGCGGCUCACUGGACCGGAACUGACGCUGAUGCGCGAAAGCGUGGGGAGCAAACGGG